AAACUAACAUUACAACGGCGUAAAGUGUGGUAACAUGCUAUCCUAGUAACUAAGAUUAAAAAGCAACUGAGUUGUCACAAGCUAAAGAUGCGUACAAGACCACUAUUCAAAGAAAAUCUUAGACAAACGAUUAAUUGAAGCCACGAAAGCCAGGGCCCAAACUGGGAUUAGAUACCCCACUAUGCCUGGCCCUAAAUCUUGGUGCUCGAUCUAACCGGAGCAUCCGCCUGAGAACUACGAGCAUAAACGCUUAAAACUCUAAGGACUUGGCGGUGCUCCACACCCACCUAGAGGAGCCUGUUCUGUAAUCGAUGAUCCACGAUAUACCUGACCAUUCCUUGCACGAAACAGCCUAUAUACCGCCGUCUCCAGCCCACCCACCAUGAAGGACCAACAGU
Molecule: ribosomal RNA, 398 nt
Filed under: Gypsophila crassa (mountain wren-babbler)
Lineage: Eukaryota; Metazoa; Chordata; Aves; Passeriformes; Pellorneidae
Description: partial 12S ribosomal RNA
Rfam family: Bacterial small subunit ribosomal RNA
Source: RNAcentral